This is a long non-coding RNA of Tympanuchus pallidicinctus (lesser prairie-chicken), 2506 nucleotides long. RefSeq lists it as uncharacterized. The record is from RefSeq and is a predicted model, not a curated record. Lineage: Eukaryota; Metazoa; Chordata; Aves; Galliformes; Phasianidae. The transcript has 5 exons.
UCAGUCAGAUUCUAUGCGUGACACCUCUUUCCUUUGAGCAGACGUGCCCAUGCACAGACAGCAGGUUCUCAAAGCAGGGGACACAUGUCAAUAAUUCCUUUAUAAGCCGAGGAGUUGUACCACACAGAACCGUUGGUGAAGCUCCGCUUCCGAUUUCCACUGGUCAGCAAUUUUCCCAGGUGCAUCAUUCACCCGUUUGGACGUUUGUCAGAUCUCCACUCCCACAUUUCCACUGCUGCCUUGUCGUGUUUUCUCUGUCAGGUACCAAGUUUUUACACGUUUAACAAACUUUUUUUUUUUCUUUCGUUUUUUUUUUUUUUUUUUGGACAAGGGGAGAGGGAAAGCAGAGCAAAGACAGCACGUGGCAGGGGCCUCUGGAAACUGUUAAGGCUGAAGACGUUCUUUGAAAGGGCGUCGCGUGAGAUGCAAAGUGAUCCGUUUGAAUUAGACACUAUUAUUUAACUUAUUAGUGAGUCUCGCAGUGAGGCGAGGAGAAGCGCGUAACAAACUUUAAUGGAAAGUGCAGUUAAAGUCCUCAACUCAGAUGUAGAGUCCACGUGUCUAGCUGUCAGAGUCCCCGGCCGGCCCUAACGAGCCCCACCGGCGCUAACGAGGCAACGACUCCCAGCUGCCGAGGGGCCGCGGCCUCCCGAGCGCAGCUGCGCCUCGUUCGCAGCGCGGGGCGGAGCCGCCCCAAAGCCUCUUAAGCUCCGCCGGAGGCCGCUGGGAGCCACGAGAGGGCUGCCGGAGUGCGUCGUCUGCGGGAGCGGGCUCCGUUUCUCUUGUUUGGUUGCGGCGAGCCGUCUCCCGGUCAAGAUCAGCGCGAACCGGUGAAUCGUUCUGGUGGCGACGGGACCGCGGAAGCGGCCGGCGCUCGGGUCCGUCCUCUCUCGCCGGGCUCCGUUCGGGGGCCGGCACGGGGCUUCCGCCGGGCUGCCCCGGCUGCUCGAAGCCCGGGUCACAUCGGCGCCCGGCUGCCGUCGCGUUUUCGGAGGGAGCUGCCGCUCGGUUCCCCGAGUGCUAACGCGGUCCUGAGGGCUCUCAGUCCCUCCGGGGCUUUUCGGCGGGGACUUCGGUUUCUCCCAGCCUUAUCGGCUGAGCGGAGGUUGCAGCAAAACCUCUCGUCACCCCGACCCGGUGAGAUGGUGGAAGCGGUGUUUGGGAGUCACUUGCUUCAGGAGCCUGACCUCGUUGCCAUCAUGAAGACGUGGUGGGAGAGCUCCCACGACUGAAAUGCUGUUGUGGAUGGCGGCGUUCCUUAUAGGAGAGACAAACAGGUGAGGUGGUGGAGUUUCUCUUCCGACGAGAGAACUGGAAUGUACUGAGCCUCCACGACAAGGUGAUGGGACAGCUUGGGUCUAGAUGACAGCUGCAAGUGACCUGAUGAGCAAAAAUUUCGAAGUGGUCAUGGUGAAUUCGGUGAGGGGGAAUGAUGCUGGACCAAGGAGGUAGCCUUCUGUGUUGUGACUGGUUAGACGAGAGAAGGGCUGUGGGGGAAUAUCUUACUGUCGGUAACUAUCUGAAGUGCGGGAGUCUUGCUGACGGUGACGACGGGCUCAUUCAGGCACCGACAGGAGGCGUGAGGUGGAAACACUCACAGACCGGAACGUCAAAAGUAAGACCGCUUGUGCUGCGAGAGCGAUAGAAUGGGCUGCGGAGUCUCCUUCUCCGGGGGUCUGCAGGUUGCGUCCGGAUGCUUUUCCGGGUGAUGUGUAACAGGGAAACGGCCCCGGUCGACAUCGUCGCAGGGCGAGUGCCGCAACGGAGCAUUUAGCAGCGAGGAUCCGCCUGAGCGUGGGAGCGGUUUCACCGGCGGUGAGCGACACGAGGGCUGCCCUCCCCCAGCGUCCUCUGAGGAGCGGUUCACGGAGCUCUCCUGCGUGUCCAGGGCCGGAGCGGGGAUCGUGCUGGUGAGGUAAGCGGUGUCCUCUGGUGCCUGAUCUGUGCGUGCUGCCUCCGGGCUGGAGUUUCCAGCUGGGAUCGGGUGCUGGGGCGUGUGGUUUCUUCUUUGAGUCUUCAAGGUGCGUGUGGUGGCUCUGCUGCUGGAAGAAUGGAAUUGACAGACUGAGGGGAGAAGCGCAGCCUGCGGGAUUGUGUCACCUGUUCCUGCGGGGAGCUUGGUGAGGUCCACCCUGGCCAAGGUGUGUUUUUACUUUAGGUUGUGUUGCAGGAGGCAUCCUGAGAGGAAAGUCCCCGUCCUCGGCCGGCAGGCGUGCUGCACCCAUGGAAGGAGCAGAGGAGAGCCCCCGGGCGAAGGCAAUUCAGCUGCCCUCCUGGAUGGGGCGGAGCCCGGCGGCACCUCUCUGAGAUCCAUUGAAGAGCGGACUGCGAGUGCGGGAGGAUCUCUCGGAGUCUUCCCCGCAAGCCUGGCAAAAGGUAAGCAUUUCUACUGUUCUUUGGUGCGGUGACUUGUUUGGCCUAAGUUUUUUUUGUCUGGGUGUCUUCUAAGUUUGUGGUGUUUUUUGUGUGUUUUUUUUUUUUGUCUGGAUGUCUUCUAAGUUUGUGG